This 1322-nucleotide ribosomal RNA is filed under the name metagenome. Its description in RNAcentral is "bacterial LSU rRNA". It matches the Rfam family "Bacterial large subunit ribosomal RNA", at positions 1561 to 2925 of the family's 2925-position model. The record is from RNAcentral.
AGUGGAUGGGGAGCAACCUAGUUGUGCGUGUGUAAAGGUAGUGCCAAGAAAAGCGAUGAUCAUGUUGAAAAUCAAUUCCCGGUACCCGAAACCGACACAGGUGGGCAAGUAGAGAAUACUAAGGGGCGCGAGGUAACUCUCUCCAAGGAACUCGGCAAAAUGACCCCGUAACUUAGGGAGAAGGGGUGCCACCGAGAGGUGGUCGCAGUGAAGAGGCCCAGGCGACUGUUUAGCAAAAACAUAGGUCUCUGCAAACUCGAAAGAGGAGGUAUAGGGGCUGACGCCUGCCCAGUGCCGGAAGGUUAAAGAAGUUGGUCAGUCUUAGGAUGAAGCUAGCGACUGAAGCCCCGGUGAACGGCGGCCGUAACUAUAACGGUCCUAAGGUAGCGAAAUUCCUUGUCGGGUAAGUUCCGACCCGCACGAAAGGCGUAACGAUCUGGGCGCUGUCUCGGAGAGAGGCUCGGCGAAAUAGGAUUGUCUGUGAAGAUACGGACUACCUGCAUUUGGACAGAAAGACCCUAUGAAGCUUUACUAUAGCUUGGAAUUGUGUUCGGGCUUCCUGUGCGCAGGAUAGGUGGGAGGCGUAGAAGGUAUUCUUGUGGGGAUACUGGAGCCAACGGUGAGAUACCACUCUCAGGAGGCUAGAAUUCUAACUUAAUUAAGGACAGUUUCAGGUGGGUAGUUUGACUGGGGCGGUCGCCUCCAAAAAGGUAACGGAGGCGUACAAAGGUUCCCUCAGACUGGUUGGAAAUCAGUCGAAGAGUGCAAAGGCAGAAGGGAGCUUGACUGCGAGAAGUACAGUUCGAGCAGGGUGGAAACACGGUCUUAGUGAUCCGACGGUGCUGUGUGGAAGGGCCGUCGCUCAACGGAUAAAAGUUACUCUAAGGAUAACAGGCUGAUCUCCCCCAAGAGUUCACAUCGUCGGGGAGGUUUGGCACCUCAUGUCGGCUCAUCGCAACCUGGGCGGAAGUACGUCCCAAGGGUUGGGCUGUUCGCCCAUUAAAGCGGUACGUGAGCUGGGUUCAGAACGUCGUGAGACAGUUCGGUCCAUAUCCGAUGUAGGCGUGAGAAUAUUGAGAGGAGCCUUCCUUAGUACGAGAGGACCGGGAAGGACGCACCGCUGGUGUACCUGUUAUGAUGCCAAUUGUAAACGCAGGGUAGCCAAGUGCGGAGAGGAUAACCGCUGAAAGCAUCUAAGUGGGAAGCCCACCUCAAGAUGAGUAUUCUGGUGUAAGGUCACGGGAAGACGACCCGUAAAUAGGCACGAGGUGGAAGUGCAGAGAUGUAUGAAGCCGAAGUGUACUAAUAGACCGUCGGCUUGA